UGGGGAAUAUUGGACAAGGGGCGCAAGCCUGAUCCAGCCAUGCCGCGUGAGUGAUGAAGGCCCUAGGGUUGUAAAGCUCUUUCACCGGUGAAGAUAAUGACGGUAACCGGAGAAGAAGCCCCGGCUAACUUCGUGCCAGCAGCCGCGGUAAUACGAAGGGGGCUAGCGUUGUUCGGAUUUACUGGGCGUAAAGCGCACGUAGGCGGACUAUUAAGUCAGGGGUGAAAUCCCGGGGCUCAACCCCGGAACUGCCUUUGAUACUUGUAGUCUUGAGUUCGAGAGAGGGGAGUGGAAUUCCGAGUGUAGAGGUGAAAUUCGUAGAUAUUCGGAGGAACACCAGUGGCGAAGGCGGCUCACUGGCUCGAUACUGACGCUGAGGUGCGAAAGCGUGGGGAGCAAACAGG
This 404-nucleotide ribosomal RNA is filed under the name Actinomycetes bacterium. RNAcentral's name for it is "Actinobacteria bacterium partial 16S ribosomal RNA". It matches the Rfam family "Bacterial small subunit ribosomal RNA", at positions 355 to 776 of the family's 1533-position model. The record is from RNAcentral. Lineage: Bacteria; Bacillati; Actinomycetota; Actinomycetes.